This is a long non-coding RNA of Dreissena polymorpha, 9395 nucleotides long. RefSeq lists it as uncharacterized. NCBI's taxonomy places the organism in Eukaryota, Metazoa, Mollusca, Bivalvia, Myida, Dreissenidae. The transcript has 2 exons. The record is from RefSeq and is a predicted model, not a curated record.
CACCCAAUUUUUUUUUUUGAAACGGUUAAAAAACACAAAUAUUUAUUUUUAUUAUUUUAUUUUUGAAAUACCGUCCAACCAUCGCACCCAAGAAUACCCUUCCCCUUCCCCCGAAUUUUUUUUUUUUUGCAUUUUUUUCGCAUUUUUGGAAAAUAAUGUAAUAAAUGUCCACACCCCCACACUAUACACCCCUAUUCACUCCACCUCUCCCUCCUUUGUGAUUUAAAUUGAGAGUCCCUUCACCUUUAAAAAGAAAAAAGAUGAGCGGUCUGCACCCGCAAGGCGGUGCUCUUGAUUGCAUUUUGUUAUGAUGGCAUAACAUUUAAGUUUUUGUUCAUAAAUAAGAAAUUAUUGGAAAUGCAAUUGAUUCACUUUGGAGCUGAAUUGUUUGAAUCUUGUUACUCUGGAAAACAUUUACAGUUUUGGUUUGUAAAUAAAAAAUCAUUCGAUAUGCAAGCGAUUCACUUUGAGUUGACAAUUUUGCAAUUUUGUUACGCUGGCAUAACAUUUUAAGUUUGGCCUGUAAAUAAGAAUUGAUUCGAAAUGCAAGUGAUUCACUUUGGAGCUGAAAUGUUUGUAAUUUUGUUACGCUGGCAGAACAUUUUAAGUUUUGGUUGGUGAACAAGAAAUGAUUCCAAAUGCAAUUGAUUCACAUUGGAGUCUAAGUGUUUGGAAUUUUGUUACGCUGGCAUAUCAUUUUUCAAGUUUUUGUCAGUAAAUAAGAAAUCAUUUGAAACGCAAGCAUUUCACUUUGGAGUUGAAAUGUUAUGAACUUUGUUACGCUUCCAUUACAUUUUAAGUUUUGGUCAUUAAAUAAAAAAUCAUUUGAAAAGCAAGCAUUUCACUUUGGAGUUGAAAAUUUUGGAAUUUUGUUACGCUGGCAUAUUUUGAGUUUUGGUCUGUAAAUAAGAAAUGAUUCGAAACUUUGGAAUUUGUUACACUGGCAUAACAUUUUAAGUUAGGCCUUUAAAUAAGAAAUGAUUCUAAAUGCAAGCAAUUCAAUUUGAGUUGAAAUGUUUGAAGUUUUGUUAUGCUGGCAUAACAUUUUUAAGUUUUGGUCUGUAAAUAAGAAAUCAUUACAUAUGCAAGCAAUGCACUUUGAGGUUGAAAUGUUCGGAAUUUUGUAACGCUGGCAUAACAUUUUUAGUUUUGGUCUGUAAAUAAGAAUUCAUUCGAUAUGCGAGGAAUUCACUUUGGAGUUGAAAUGCGAUGAAUUUUGUUACGCCUGCAUAACAUUUUUUUUGAGUUUUGGUUGGUAAAUAAGAAAUGAUUCACUUUGUAGCUAAAUUGUUUGUAUAACAUAUUAACAGUUUGGGUUGGUAAAUAAGAAAUUAUUCGAAAUGCAAUUGAUUCAUUUUGGAGUCAAAGUGUUUGGAAUUUUUUGUUGCUGGCAUAACAUUGCACUUUUGGUCUGUAAAUGAGAAAUGAUUCGAAAUGCAACUGAAUCACUUUGGAAUAAAAGUAUUUGGAAUUUUGUUACGCUGGCAUAACAUUAACAGUUUAGUUCUGUAAAUAAGUUAUCAUUCGGUAUGCAAGCGAUUCACUUUUAAGUUGAAAUGUUAUGAAUUUUGUUAAGCUGGCGUAACUUUUUUUUUUCAUCUUCAAUAAAUAAGCAUAUCGAAAUUAUCACAAAAACUGGAUUUUUUUAGUAGAAAAACCCUGUAAAACACCCCUAUAAAUUGGGAUUCAUGGAUAUUCCCUUUUUAAAAUAGACACAGUUAUUUGUUCUAAUUUCUACAAUUUAUUGGUUUUGAUAUUGCCGUAUUCUUAUGCAAUAUGCAUAAAAAAUAUGCCUAAAUAUUCAUAGACAGCAAGCUGAUAAACACGCAUUUUGUAAUAUACAUAUAUUUUGCCAAACAAGUUUUAUAAAAUUGCUUGCAUGGACGCACUGCUUCUUUCUAUUUCUAUGCAUUUCCAGCUUCUGGAGGGAAUUUGAAACACAGCGCGGACCUAAUUUUUAUUCCAGUUUUAUCUUGUACUUUGUUAUGUUUUGCAUGGAAGCUUUCUAAUCAGGCAAUUUUUAUCUCUACCCUCACAAAAACUAGUUAAACAUUUGUAAGGAUUGCUAAAAAUAUUUCUAGGCAGGCAUAUUUGUUUUCACUUGUAUACCCUGUAAUCCAGUCUGGACCAAGUUGAAGGUUUAGCAUGCCUACUAAAUAAUCGCUUUAAACCACUAAGGCUUUCUAAGGCUUUCUUAAAUAGUAUUUAAGUUAUGUUUAUCAUCAAAUUUUUAUGUUCCCCACUAUAGUAGUGGGGGACAUAUUGUUUUUGCCCUGUCUGUUGGUUGGUUGGUUGGUUCCCGGGUGUACUUUGUCCAGGGUUUUCCAUGGAAAUCCAUGGAAAAUAUGAGGCUGGAGUAUUCGGACCAAGUUUCCAGCCUUUCCCAGCGUCAAUAUUUAAAAAAAAGGGUGGAAAAUUGUCCAUGGUAUGUGGAAAUAGCCUGGAAUAGUUUCCAUGGUUUUCCAGGCUCCCUGGAAUAAUUACCAUGGAACAAUUUCCAGGGUUUUCCAGCCAGCAUGGAAUAAAUACCGUCCGAAUACUCCAUGUAAUCUGGAAAACCAUGGAAAACCAUGGAUUUAUUUCCAGGGUUUUCCAGAUUACAUGGAGUAUUUGGACGGUAUUUUUUGCAUGCUGGCUGGAAAACCCUGGAAAAUGUUUCAGGGUUUUUCCAUGUUUAAUAUUCCAUGGAUGCCUGGUAUAACAUGGAAAAUUGUCCAGCGUUUACUAUGGUCACUGAAAAGAAAAAGAAAUUUCUGGUCUAAAAACAAUAUUUAUGUAUUAAAUGAAUACAAUACUCACAGCUUAAGAAAAUCAUAAUUUAAGGUUAGAUUUAAACAAAACAAAAAAUCAACAUAAUGCCUAAGUUUCUUCGAUGUAUUAUUUUGUUCACAAUUCAUCAAAAUAUAACAUCAGAUUACAAAUUGUGUUACAUUUAUUUAACAAAUUAUUCAGAUCAAACAAGCGUUGUUUAAUACAUGCUUACAAAGCCUCUAGGUCCAUUAUCAUAAAUCAGGCCCUUACAUAACAGAACAGGCGCUACUUUAAAAGUUAAAAAGUAUAAUGCAACCUUCACAACAUGUAUUCAAAGUAACAAAAUACAAGCAUUAGUCAAGUAAUAUACAGUAACAAUUCACGAACCCUGUACAAACGAUAUACAAGAAACAAAAUGAAAAAUUUAUGUUGUUUUAGCUGCUUCAUGUAUGUCACAAUAUAUGUAGCUGCCCAUGAGCACAAGGAUACUAUUUUUAUGUCCCCAACUAUAGUAGUGGGGAACAUAUUGUUUUUGUCCUGUCUGUUGGUUGGUCUGUUGGUUGGUUGGUCUGUUGGUUGGUUGGUUGGUUUGCGCCAACUUUAACAUUUUGAAAUAACUUUUGCUAUAUUGAAUAUAGCAACUUGAUAUUUGGCAUGCAUGUGUAUCUCAUGGAACUGCACAUUUUGAGUGGUGAAAGGUAAAGGUCAAGGUCAUUCUUCAAGGUCAGAGGUCAAAUAUAUGUGGCCAAAAUCGCCCAUUUUAUGAAUUCUUUUGCAAUAUUGAAGAUAGCAACUUCAUAUUUGGCAUGCAUGUGUAUCUCAUGGAGCUGCACAUUUUGAGUGGUGAAAGGUCAAGGUCAAGGUCAUCCUUCAAGGUCAGAGGUCAAAUAUAUGUGGCCCAAAUCGCUUAUUUUAUGAAUACUUUUGCAAUAUGGAAGAUAGCAACUUGAUAUUUGGCAUGCAUGUGUAACUUAUGGAGCUGCAUAUUUUGAGUGGUGAAAGGUGAAGGUCAAGGUCAUCCUUCAAGGUCAGAGAUCAAAUAUAUGUGGCCCAAAUCGCUUAUUUUAUGAAUACUUUUGCAAUAUGGAAGAUAGCAACUUGAUAUUUGGCAUGCAUGUGUAUCUCAUGGAGCUGCACAUUUUGAGAGGUGACAGGUCAAGGUCAAUGUCAUCCUUCAAGGUCAGAGGUCAAAUAUAUGUGGCCCAAAUCGCUUAUUUUAUGAAUACUUUUGCAAUAUUGAAGAUAGCAACUUGAUAUUUGGCAUGCAUGUGUAUCUCAUGGAGCUGCACAUUUUGAGUGGUGAAAGGUCAAGGUCAAGGUCAUUCUUUAAGGUCAAGUAUAUGGGUAAAAAUUGCGCAUGUAAUGUCACUUCUGCAAUAUUGAAGCUAGCAAUUUUAUAUUUGGCAUGCAUGUGUAUCUCAUGGAGCUGCACAUUUUGAGUGGUGAAGGGUCAAGCUCAAGGUCAUCCUACAAGGUCAAACAGCAUAUAGGGGGACAUUGUGUUUCUCAAACACAUCUUGUUAGUAAUGCGUUUAAGUAUUUUAGGAUAGAAAUGUAAUGUUUUAAAAUAAUUUCUGAACAUUUUGUUUUCAAAUAAUUUUUGAACACGUUUGUUAAAAAUAUUCCAAAACGUUUUGAUAUCUUAUGUUUCCGUUUUCCUAAAUAAUUAUGUAAAUUGGUUGGUUUGAGCAUAAAAUACACGUAUUUUUCGAACGUAAACAAGGCUUUAACUUAAAACAGCAUUAAGUCUAAGUACCUGGAAGCUUAUCUUUUUGUCGUCGGAUAAUUUAAGUUCAAUUCAUAUAAAGAAAUUAGUCUAUAACAAUGAUUUAGUUAACAUAAACGUUCAUACCGCAAAAGCACAUCACCAACUGUUGUUAAAACUGUUGUUAACUUAAAAAUCCAACUGCUUUGUUGAAAUAGUUUAUUAAUGUUUCGUCAUAUUUAUACUGAAAUAACUUGGCAUAAAAAUAAAUCCUUAUCUUAAACAAAUGCUUUCUUUUAAAAUCACAUGUGCAAACACAUAUGUUGAGAAAAUGGCAUUGUCAACAAUCUAGUUCAUAAUUAGAUCUGAUAAUUAAUAUUUAGACAGCUAGCUUAACUAUACUGUAUUUUCAUAAAAAUUUCCAGAAUAAGGUUGCAUUUACCUAAAUGUGCAAUGUUAUGUUUAGUUUUAUUCAUUCGGACUUGCUGAAAGAAAAAAAGUAUCAAUAAAAAGUUUUGUGUUUUCAUUUAAUUAUAAUAAGGACUUGUUGCAGCAAGAUGAUCGAAGUUUUAGCUUUUGAUAAUUUCUUUUAUGCAUUUAUUUUGUUAACCAGGUUUUCCGAAGGAAACAACUGGUUAUUAGAUUGGCGAUGUCGGCGGGCGGGCAGGCUGGUGGGCGGAACAAGCUUGUCCGGGCCAUAACUUUGUCGUUCAUUGUCAGAUUUUAAAACCAUUUGGAACAUGUGUUCACCAUCAUAAGACGGUGUGUCGCGCGAAAGAAUUACGUUGAUAUCUCCAAGGUCAAGGUCACAAUUUGAGUUUGAAGGUCAAAAUGGCCAUAAAUGAGCUUAUCCGGGCCAUUACUUUGUCGUUCAUUGUCGGAUUUAAAAAUCGUUUGGCACAUUUGUUCACCAUCAUUAGACUGUGUGUCGCACGAAAGAAUUACGUCGAUAUCUCCAAGGUCAAGGUCACAGUUUGAGUUUGAAGGUCAAAAAUGGCCAUAAAUGAGCUUGUCCGGGCCAUCACUUUGUGAUUCAUUGUGAGAUUUAUAAAACAUUUGGCACAUUUCUUCACCAUCAUUAGACGGUGUGUAGCGCGAAAGAAUAACGUCGAUAUCUCCAAGAUCAAGGUCACAAUUUGAGUUUGAAGGUCAAAAAUGGCCAUAAAUGAGCUUGUCUGGGCCAUUACUAUGUCAUUCGUUGUGAGAUUUUAAAAUCAUUUUGCACAUUUGUUCACCAUUAUCGGACGGUGUGUCAUGCGAAAAAAUAACGUCAAUAGACGAGUUAACGCGUGACGUCACACGCACCUGCAAAGUUUAGACUCCGCCCACUGGUUGGCAAAAGAGCAUUUAUAUCCCGGUGUAUAAUUGCACCUUUGUUAUCACAAACCGAUUAUCUCGUUAUGAUCGGAUACUGUCCAGACAAUUACAAAGAAAACAUGGUGUCAUAAACCCAGGGACCUACACUUGGACCCCUGCAUAAACCACAUGUUGCAGACGAGUGUCUGGUCAGUAAACAUAAGUCACGAUACCUCUAUGUCAUCUCUUGGCAUAUUGAGCAAUCAUUUAAUAUAAAGAAGUGAAACUCCAGCUGCUGGAGCAGUAUUGAAUUUUCAUUAAAAACAAUUCUUAAAAAAUAAUAAAAACACAAUACCGCCACCAGCCUCUGAAGGCUGAAAAUAUAACAACAUCGGGGAUACACGCUAUUGCAUCCACGCAGCACACAUCAAACUGUUGAAAGCCACAUUUUAAAGCUAAAAAUACUGAUAAGUUAAUUUUUUAUGAAAUAUUUUAACAUUCUAACAAAAAUGAAGACAUUUGUCGGAAAUGUAUUAACUGGAACGAGUGUAUAUAUUUAUUAGCCAGUUAAACUUAAUAAUACAUUGUUUAAUAACUAUACAUUUUAAUAUUGUGCAAUUUUACUGCUAUGCAAUUAAGGUAUUUAACGGGUACCGGCAAAAGUUAACUCCGCUAUUAUGUGUAAAGAUUGUACAUUACUGCAGGGUCCGAAACACGAUCAUGAACAUAAGCAGUCACAAAAGGGGCCGUUAGAUAAAUUAAAUAUAUGCAUUUAUCAUAAAAUGCUAUAUUUUUAUCACUCCUUAUUACUAAUAGAGAUUUCUAUAUACAUGCAAAGACAGUUACAUUUGCGUAAUUAAUAUGCAGGGUUUUUCCGUUUGUAUGGUAAAUUGAAUUUAUAUUCAUUCGAUGUAAACGAAACGUAAAUUCAUUCAAUGUAAAAGAAAAUUACCCCAAUAUUUAAAAAAAGUACUGUAUUCCGCUUUUUAGGGCUUUUUUUUAAUUGAUUAAAUGCACCUCUGACUCUAUUGAUCGCUGAUGAAAUAAAACACUAUCCACACCACUUAAAAUUAUAAUACAAUUAAAAUAUGUUUUAUUAGUGUUUAAAUAUAAUUUAUUCAAGUCUUAUUAUCAGAAAGAAUACGGCUAAUUUAUUGUUUUGUUUUGUGGAAUUGUCAGUAUUAAGUUUUCCGAUCACGUUUACUCUAUCCUAAUAACUACUUCGUAUUUUUAUGAAGAGGAAAUUUUAUUUGUGAAUAUACAUUUAUUUGGUACUAAAUAUGCUAUAUUUGCACUUUUUUUUAAAGAGUUUUAAUGUUUAUUUCGUUUUUAUUAUCAAUUUAUUGACUAAACAAAAGCCCUUUAUACAUAUUUUACGUUACUGUAACCAGUGUUUUUGCCAACCAGUCAGUGCGCAUGCGCGGAAAAUCCCGAAUGUAAACAAUAACAAUUAACUCGUCUAUAUCUCCAAGGUCAAGGUCGCCACAACAAAAAAUAGAUUGAUUUUGAACAACUAUGUAACAAUGCACAUUUUGAUUUUGAGUUUUCUCUCUUUAUCAGACUUUUUUUUCAAUUUUUUUUUUAUAUCAAUCAUUUUUUUCAAUUAUAUUGAUCAAUAAAAAAAUAGAUUGAAAUAUUCUCCAAUUUUACUGUUGAACAGUUAUUGACAAAAAACUAUCGUGUCUACAUGUACACAUAUCAUAUCACAGAUAUACUUUGUUCAAGAAUUAAAGAGAUAGAGAAAAUGUACUUAAAACCAACUAUUUGCGAUACUUAUGAUAUUAAAUGCAGCUUGUAUUUGAGAAUAAAUUACACAAUUAAAAUGCAUUUUAGUUUUGCAUUGGUUGUAAAUAAAGAGUAGAAGCGUAGAGGAAUUGUUUACAAUAUAAAGAAGUGAAACUCCAGCUGCUGGAGCAGUAUUGAAUUUUCAUUAAAACAAUUAGUUGGUCCUUUAUUUAAGGCAAGUGACCGAUUGCCCAAACAGUACAAAACAGCACAAUACAGCACAAUACAAACCAACAUAAACACAAAAUAUGAAUAAAGCUGGGGUCACCGCCUUGGAACGGUCAAUGCAAAGCAUUGGGGGUUUAAACCUGGUUAUAGAGCGCUCAACCUCACACUUGGCCCAGCAAUAUUCAUAAUACAUUUAAGUGUAAAUAAAAUUUAACGUCAUAGCAUUGUAACUCAAAUUAAACAAUAAUAAAAGGGAAUUAAAACGCAUUCAAUUUAAUUACUAUUUAAUUACUCAAUUGCAUUGAAGAUACAAGAGUAACAGAAUUACAACUUUUUGACGAACGAUCAAAUAAAACUAUUAACAAUUGUCAACUACAUUCCUUCUUUAUAGAAAAGAUUUGAGAAUAUAGAAUCAUAUAGUUAAUAUCUCAGAUAAAAACAACACUUACAAAUGUGAAUAAUUAACAAAAAUUAACUCUUAAAGGAAGUAUGAAAUUUCAUUUUAAAUCAUAAAUACAGAUUGUAUACAAAAGUCAUGUAGGCCUACAUGGAUGAUAUGUGAAAUACAGUAUUAUGUGAAAGUCAGAAAUACCAUUAUUCUAAUUAAUUUUAUAUACAGACGUAGGUCAUGUAUGAUAUGUCAUGCAGUAUUACUUGAAAAUCAGAGUAUCAUUGUUCUUAAUAACUUUGAAUGGAAAAACAGUGAAAACGUAUUUUAAUAAUAGAGCACAGUCUGUACUACCGCCUGUCUGCUCAGCACUCGUCCUCUUUUAAAGAUUUUACACUAAAUAAUCGAACUAUAAAGCGCAAGUUAAGUAUGUACGCUUGUUUGUAUGAAGUACUUUUAUUAUUUGAACUACACCUUCCCAGAAUAGUUUAGUUCCUUUGGGUCUCAGGUGAGCGCCUUAGGGCCCAUGGUCCUCUUGUUUUUUACAUGUCUAUACCCUGUUAUUCAGGCAGGACCAUGCUUUAUGUUCAGUAUGUAUAUUACUUUUCCUCAAUGUAUUUUCCUAUUAUAUAAGAAAAAAAACUCUAGUUGCUCCAGCGUUUAUUUAGGACAGAAAUGUAACUUUUAAAGUACAUGCAAUUUCUAAUCAUAUACGUUAACAAAGUUCCAAAACUUGUGAUGUAUCUACUAUAUUUUAUUAACGUUUUCGUGAAUGUAAAAUUAUGUACCAUGAUUUCAGCUUAGAAUACAAGUAUUUGUCACAUGAAAAGGAGCCUGUACCAUGGGUAUGCCCUUAAAUCAGCAUUAAGUCCAAGUACCUGAAACCUUUUAUUUUUUUCGUCGGAUAAUUUAAGUUUAAUUAAUAUAAAUAACUAUAAGCACAUCCCCAUUUAAACAGAUGUGAAAUUUAAAAGCCAUCUGCCAAGUAAAACUAGUUUAAUAUCUUUUAAUGUUUAGUCAUAUUAAUACUGAAAUAACAUUGCAUAAAAUAAAAUCAUUUUCUUAAACAAAUGCUUUCUCUCAUAAUCACAUUUGUAAUUACAGAUGUUGGGAAAAAAAUUUGUCAACAAUCUAGUUUAUAAUUAGAUCUUAUUAUUCAUUCUUAGACAGAUAGCUUUAUUAUUAUGUAUUUGUAUAUACAUGUCCAGAAUUAGGUUGCAUUUUCCACAGUGUUCAAUGUUAUGUUUGGUUUAAUUCAUUCGGACUUGCUGGAAGAAAAAAAAGUAUAAAUAUAAAGUUUUC